CCCGUCUCGCGACGGGCCGGGAUGUGACCCUGGCCGGCCGACGCCGACGGCGUCGGUCGGGGGAGGCGACGGUCGAGGCCGAUCGCACCGAUCCGCGGUGCGACCGGGCCCGACCGCUGCCGAUCGGGUUGAACCACCAA
This 140-nucleotide non-coding RNA is filed under the name unclassified sequences. Its description in RNAcentral is "eL15-Euryarchaeota ribosomal protein leader". It matches the Rfam family "eL15-Euryarchaeota ribosomal protein leader". The record is from RNAcentral.